AGAUUGAACGCUGGCGGCGGGCCUAACACAUGCAAGUCGAGCGGUAGAGAGGUGCUUGCAUCUCUUGAGAGCGGCGGACGGGUGAGUAAUGCCUAGGAAUCUGCCUAGUGGUGGGGGAUAACGUUCGGAAACGGACGCUAAUACCGCAUACGUCCUACGGGAGAAAGCGGGGGACCUUCGGGCCUCGCGCCAUUAGAUGAGCCUAGGUCGGAUUAGCUAGUUGGUGAGGUAAUGGCUCACCAAGGCGACGAUCCGUAACUGGUCUGAGAGGAUGAUCAGUCACACUGGAACUGAGACACGGUCCAGACUCCUACGGGAGCAGCAGUGGGGAAUAUUGGACAAUGGGCGAAAGCCUGAUCCAGCCAUGCCGCGUGUGUGAAGAAGGUCUUCGGAUUGUAAAGCAACUUUAAGUGGAGGAAGGUUGUAACCGUAAUACGUUAGCUAACUUUGAACGUUACCGACUAGAAUAAGCACCGGCUAACCUCGCGCCAGCAGCCGACGGUAAC
This 506-nucleotide ribosomal RNA is filed under the name uncultured soil bacterium. Its description in RNAcentral is "bacterial SSU rRNA". It matches the Rfam family "Bacterial small subunit ribosomal RNA", at positions 26 to 524 of the family's 1533-position model. The record is from RNAcentral.